CCUACGGGGGGCUGCAGUGGGGAAUAUUGGACAAUGGGGGCAACCCUGAUCCAGUCAUGCCGCGUGUGUGAAGAAGGCCCUCGGGUUGUAAAGCACUUUCAGUGAGGAAGAACGCCUGGUGGUUAAUACCCAUCAGGAAAGACAUCACUCACAGAAGAAGCACCGGCUAACUCCGUGCCAGCAGCCGCGGUAAUACGGAGGGUGCGAGCGUUAAUCGGAAUUACUGGGCGUAAAGCGCGCGUAGGUGGCUUGAUAAGCCGGUUGUGAAAGCCCCGGGCUCAACCUGGGAACGGCAUCCGGAACUGUCAAGCUAGAGUGCAGGAGAGGAAGGUAGAAUUCCCGGUGUAGCGGUGAAAUGCGUAGAGAUCGGGAGGAAUACCAGUGGCGAAGGCGGCCUUCUGGACUGACACUGACACUGAGGUGCGAAAGCGUGGGUAGCAAACAGGAUUAGAUACCCGGGUAGUC
Molecule: ribosomal RNA, 465 nt
Filed under: Vreelandella stevensii
Lineage: Bacteria; Pseudomonadati; Pseudomonadota; Gammaproteobacteria; Oceanospirillales; Halomonadaceae
Description: partial 16S ribosomal RNA
Rfam family: Bacterial small subunit ribosomal RNA
Source: RNAcentral